This 253-nucleotide ribosomal RNA is filed under the name uncultured bacterium. Its description in RNAcentral is "partial 16S ribosomal RNA". It matches the Rfam family "Bacterial small subunit ribosomal RNA", at positions 524 to 776 of the family's 1533-position model. The record is from RNAcentral.
UACGGAGGUGGCGAGCGUUAUCCGGAAUGACUGGGUGUAAAGGGCGUGUAGGCGGCACUGUGCGUCAGAUGUGAAAUCGCCCGGCUCAACCGGGAGCGUGCAUCUGAUACUGCAGUACUUGAGUGAUAGAGGGGAAAGCGGAAUUCCUAGUGUAGCGGUAAAAUGCGUAGAUAUUAGGAGGAACACCAGUGGCGAAGGCGGCUUUUUGGCCUGUAACUGACACUGAGGCGCGAAAGCGUGGGGAGCAAACAGG